Molecule: ribosomal RNA, 1253 nt
Filed under: metagenome
Description: SSU rRNA
Rfam family: Eukaryotic small subunit ribosomal RNA
Source: RNAcentral
UCUCACGACUUGCGAGAUUGCAAUGAGCACAAUUUAAAUCUCUUAGCAAGGAACAAUUGGAGGGCAAGUCUGGUGCCAGCAGCCGCGGUAAUUCCAGCUCCAAUAGCGUAUAUUAAAGUUGUUGCAGUUAAAAAGCUCGUAGUUGAACUUCUGGGCGUUCUCACAGUGGCUCCGGUCGUUGUGAGGGCGUUCAUCCGUCUGAGAACUACAUUCGGCCUUCGCUGGUCGGUGUAGGGAUCAGGCAUUUUACUUUGAAAAAAUUAGAGUGUUCCAGGCAGGCAAUCGCCUUGAAUACACAAGCAUGGAAUAAUGGAAUAGGACUAUGAUUCAUUUUGUUGGUUAUUGGAUCAUAGUAAUGAUUAACAGGGACAGUUGGGGGCAUUAGUAUUUAAUUGUCAGAGGUGAAAUUCUUGGAUUUAUUAAAGACUAACUUAUGCGAAAGCAUUUGCCAAGGAUGUUUUCAUUAAUCAAGAACGAAAGUUAGGGGAUCAAAGACGAUCAGAUACCGUCCUAGUCUUAACCAUAAACUAUUCCGACUAGGGAUUGGUUGGGUUCCUUCAGCCCAAUCAGCACCUUAUGAGAAAUCAAAGUCUUUGGGUUCCGGGGGGAGUAUGGUCGCAAGGCUGAAACUUAAAGGAAUUGACGGAAGGGCACCACCAGGAGUGGAGCCUGCGGCUUAAUUUGACCCAACACGGGGAAACUCACCAGCGCAAAACAUGGGUGGGAUUGACAGAUUGAGAGCUCUUUCUUGAUUCUAUGGGUGGUGGUGCAUGGCCGUUCUUAGUUGGUGGAGUGAUUUGUCUGGUUAAUUCCGUUAACGAACGAGACCUUAACCUGCUAACUAGUCUCUUCAUGUUAAAUGGGGAGGACUUCUUAGAGGGACUAUGAGUGCAAGCUCAUGGAAGUUUGAGGCAAUAACAGGUCUGUGAUGCCCUUAGAUGUGCUGGGCCGCACGCGCGCUACACUGACACGUUCAGCAAGUUUUAUCCUGGUCCGGAAGGAUUUCGGGUAAUCUUUGUAAAGCGUAUCGUGCUGGGGAUCGAUCUUUGCAAUUAUAGAUCUUGAACGAGGAAUUCCUAGUAAGUGCAAGUCAUCAGCUUGUACUGAUUACGUCCCUGCCCUUUGUACACACCGCCCGUCGCUCCUACCGAUUCGAGUGAUCCGGUGAACCUUCUGGACUGCUGAGGUCUCGGCCUCGGUGGAAAGUUAAGUAAACCUUAUCACUUAGAGGAAGGAGAAGUCGUAACAAGGUU